RNAcentral lists this long non-coding RNA (1533 nucleotides) under Strigops habroptila (Kakapo). RNAcentral describes it as "lncRNA (ENSSHBG00005017166.1)". Lineage: Eukaryota; Metazoa; Chordata; Aves; Psittaciformes; Psittacidae. The record is from RNAcentral.
GGCAGCGUGCGGCCCGCGCUGAGCCAGCGGCAUGGAGAGCGGCUUCGGCUCCGACUUCGGCUCCGACUUCAGCUCCGGGGCUGGCGGCGGGGGGAAGCUGGACCCGGGGCUCAUCAUGGAGCAGGUGAAGGUGCAAAUCGCCGUGGCCAACGCUCAGGAGCUCUUGCAGCGCAUGACGGACAAGUGCUUUCGGAAGUGCAUCGGGAAGCCCGGCGGAGCGCUGGACAACUCGGAGCAGAAGUGCAUCGCCAUGUGCAUGGACCGGUACAUGGACGCCUGGAACACGGUUUCCCGAGCCUACAACUCUCGGCUGCAGCGGGAGAGAGCCAACAUGUGAAGCACUCCGGCUCCUGGAGCAGGGAAGGACCAUGUGGGCAAGGGAUGAGCGGCCAGUCCAGGUGGUUGGGGGUGAAAGCCUGCUGCCUUUCCAGCCCCUGCCAUGGCAGAGCAAUAAACCCUCGCUGAACCUUUUGCAUCCAUUGGCUUUUAUUAGCAACCAGCCUCAGGAGCGAGGGAAUUUUCCAGCCUCGAGAGCCACUGCGAGCUGCUUGGUUUGGUUCAUGCCCUCUCCAACGGUCCAGACUGACCAUGGAUCAGCUGAUAAAUCCCUGCUGGAAGGGCUGCGAGAGGCGAGGAGCGUUCUGUGGACAAGGAGCACCAAGCCAGCAACACAGUCCCCUUGCCCAGGAAGCAAGCAUGGACUCAGCCACCACACAGUUACCCAGGCCCUUCCCAUCAGCUGCCACACUUGGCUCUUUCUUCCCUUGUAUUUUUAUAGCUGUUUGGGGGGGCUCACUUUUGGGUUCGUAGGCUUUGACUCAGCUCAAGCAAUGUGUUGGGGAGCAGGGGUGCUCUUGCAGGUUUGCAGCACAGCCUUGCCGAUACUUGUGCAAGCACAGCUGGGGUUGGAAAGGGUUGGGAAAUAAUUUGGGUUGAGUUCAUUAUAGAAUAAAACAUAUUGUGUGGCUGUGAUAUUCUGUAACCUCUGGUUUGGCUCCGGCACAGAAUGUUCCAUCUUGGAGCCUGCCUCUUGGGCACCAGUUUUUUGAAGGAGAAGCACUUCUGCAACAGAGGAUGUGGGUCUGCUUUGGAGCUGAGCCCUAGUUUGUUCUUGGCUCACAAACCUCUCCUGGAAAGGCCGAUUUAUGCUGUGUGGUCAGCAGUGUGCACAGCAGCUGGAAGAGGAAAGUGUUGGAGAAAAAGGUGCCCAUGCCCGUGGAGUGAGAUUUUUGAAAUCCCUUCAUCUGAAGCUCUGUUGUGUUUUAUAAAACACUUCACUGUUUGCUGGGGCAGGGAGACACACUGGAGGGGUAACAUCUCCUUGCUUGCUAGGACGUUCAAAGGGAUAUAGGAGAACCUGAUCUAAUUUACUCUCCCAGUAUGGUUGGUGGCUUCUAUGAAGGUACCAAAGUGUUCUCACACAAGGUGAACUAUUAGGAGAUAACUGGGUAUUUGGAUUAAUUGAAACUGAACUGGAGUUUCCCAUCCAGUGUGGGUAGAAUGACUACUUGAAAAUAAAGUGCUUUCCAGCCA